UACAGAGACUGCAAGCGUUAUUCGGAUUCACUGGGCGUAACGGGUGCGCAGGCGGUUGUGUGUGUCAGGUGUGAAAGCCCGGGGCUUAACCCCGGAAUUGCGCCUGAAACUACAUGACUAGAGCAUUGGAGAGGGUAGCGGAAUUCACGGUGUAGCAGUGAAAUGCGUAGAUAUCGUGAGGAACACCAGAGGCGAAGGCGGCUACCUGGACAAUUGCUGACGCUCAGGCACGAAAGCGUGGGGAGCGAACAGG
RNAcentral lists this ribosomal RNA (253 nucleotides) under uncultured bacterium. RNAcentral describes it as "partial 16S ribosomal RNA". It matches the Rfam family "Bacterial small subunit ribosomal RNA", at positions 524 to 776 of the family's 1533-position model. The record is from RNAcentral.